RNAcentral lists this ribosomal RNA (450 nucleotides) under uncultured bacterium. Its description in RNAcentral is "partial 16S ribosomal RNA". It matches the Rfam family "Bacterial small subunit ribosomal RNA", at positions 354 to 796 of the family's 1533-position model. The record is from RNAcentral.
GUGGGGAAUCUUCCGCAAUGGACGAAAGUCUGACGGAGCAACGCCGCGUGAGUGAAGAAGGUUUUCGGAUCGUAAAGCUCUGUUGUUUGAGACGAAUGUGUAUAUUAUUAAUACGGAUAUACAAUGACGGUAUUAAACGAGAAAGCCACGGCUAACUACGUGCCAGCAGCCGCGGUAAUACGUAGGUGGCAAGCGUUGUCCGGAAUUAUUGGGCGUAAAGGGAGCGCAGGUGGGAAAGUAAGUCGAUUUUAAAAGUGCGGGGCUCAACCCCGUGAGGGAAUCGAAACUGCUUUUCUUGAGUGCAGGAGAGGAAAGUGGAAUUCCUAGUGUAGCGGUGAAAUGCGUAGAUAUUAGGAGGAACACCAGUGGCGAAGGCGACUUUCUGGACUGUAACUGACACUGAGGCUCGAAAGCCAGGGGAGCGAACGGGAUUAGAUACCCCAGUAGUCC